This 335-nucleotide ribosomal RNA is filed under the name uncultured Glomeromycotina. RNAcentral describes it as "SSU rRNA". It matches the Rfam family "Eukaryotic small subunit ribosomal RNA", at positions 569 to 909 of the family's 1831-position model. The record is from RNAcentral. Lineage: Eukaryota; Fungi; Glomeromycota.
AGCGGCCGCGGUAAUUCCAGCUCCAAUAGCGUAUAUUAAAGUUGUUGCAGUUAAAAAGCUCGUAGUUGAAUUUCGGGAUCAAUUUAUCGGUCGUGCCAAUGGUAUGAACUGGUACAAUUGGUUUCUCCCUUCUGACGAAGCAUGAUGUCAUUAAUUUGGUGUCGUGGGGAAUCAGGACUGUUACUUUAGAAAAAUUAGAGUGUUUAAAGCAAGCAUUAGCUUGAAUACAUUAGCAUGGAAUAAUGAAAUGGACGUUUGAUCCUAUUUCGUUGGUUUCUAGGAUCGACGUAAUGAUUAAUAGGGAUAGUUGGGGGCAUUAGUAUUCAAUUGUCAGA